Molecule: ribosomal RNA, 758 nt
Filed under: uncultured bacterium
Lineage: Bacteria
Description: bacterial SSU rRNA
Rfam family: Bacterial small subunit ribosomal RNA
Source: RNAcentral
AGACCUUCGGGUCUAGCGGCGGACGGGUUAGUAACGCGUGGGAACGUGCCCUUCUCUGCGGAAUAGCCACUGGAAACGGUGAGUAAUACCGCAUACGCCCUUCGGGGGAAAGAUUUAUCGGAGAAGGAUCGGCCCGCGUUAGAUUAGAUAGUUGGUGGGGUAACGGCCUACCAAGUCUACGAUCUAUAGCUGGUUUUAGAGGAUGAUCAGCAACACUGGGACUGAGACACGGCCCAGACUCCUACGGGAGGCAGCAGUGGGGAAUCUUAGACAAUGGGCGCAAGCCUGAUCUAGCCAUGCCGCGUGUGUGAUGAAGGUCUUAGGAUCGUAAAGCACUUUCGCCAGGGAUGAUAAUGACAGUACCUGGUAAAGAAACCCCGGCUAACUCCGUGCCAGCAGCCGCGGUAAUACGGAGGGGGUUAGCGUUGUUCGGAAUUACUGGGCGUAAAGCGCGCGUAGGCGGAUUGGAAAGUUGGGGGUGAAAUCCCGGGGCUCAACCCCGGAACUGCCUCCAAAACUAUCAGUCUAGAGUUCGAGAGAGGUGAGUGGAAUUCCAAGUGUAGAGGUGAAAUUCGUAGAUAUUUGGAGGAACACCAGUGGCGAAGGCGGCUCACUGGCUCGAUACUGACGCUGAGGUGCGAAAGUGUGGGGAGCAAACAGGAUUAGAUACCCUGGUAGUCCACACCGUAAACGAUGAAUGCCAGUCGUCGGGCAGUAUACUGUUCGGUGACACACCUAACGGAUUAAGCAUUCCGCCU